This 623-nucleotide long non-coding RNA is filed under the name Pan troglodytes (chimpanzee). RNAcentral describes it as "long non-coding RNA NONPTRT010291". The record is from RNAcentral. Lineage: Eukaryota; Metazoa; Chordata; Mammalia; Primates; Hominidae.
UUCGAAAUAAGUGAGGCUUAUUUUUCUUCUCCAAAAGUGCAUCUGGUUUGUACAAGAACCCCAGGGUAAAGUGUGAUUCAAUAGCUUCACCUCUGCAAUGCCAAGCAGCCGAGGGAUGUGUGGCUCACAGAGCUCCUGCCACCUGGCCCCUCAGCAAUGGGGCAGCUUGGUGCCACCGCCCCUCUCUGCAGCCCUUCAACAAAGGGGUGUGCCCACAGCUCUUUCAGACACAGUCUGGCCUCCUCCUGACACUGACCCUCAGGCACACAGGGACACAGACAUCUCAGAGGCCAUGCUGUGUGGAGCCCGACUUCUCCCAAGUGGCAAUGGCCAGGAAACUCUCCUCUCCCACCUGCUCACCUUUAAAGAGGAGGCCCAGGACCGAGUCGUAACUGAGCACUGGAUCCUAACAUGUAACUGUAACAUACAACGGUACCUGGACCCUAACAUGAAUACACAGCACUUGUUUAGAUGGCUGUGUGAUGAAGAAUUAACUAUAAGGAGGAUGGUGAUUUGGAAUUCUGUAUUUGAGUUCAGCUUGAAUUCAAACAAGUCACAUGGAAGUCAUAGAUACUCUUUGGCAUAAAAUUUUAUAUAAAAUAACCUAUCUUCUAAAAGAUUUC